UUGACCUCGAAUCAGGUAGGAAUACCCGCUGAACUUAAGCAUAUCAAUAAGCGGAGGAAAAGAAACCAACCGGGAUUACCUCAGUAACGGCGAGUGAAGCGGUAACAGCUCAAAUUUGAAAUCUGGCUCUUCCGGAGUCCGAGUUGUAAUUUGUAGAAGAUGCUUUGGGUGGUGGGUUCGGCCUAAGUUCCUUGGAACAGGACGUCAUAGAGGGUGAGAAUCCCGUAUGUGGCCGAGGCCCGCGCCUAUGUAAAGCUCUUUCAACGAGUCGAGUUGUUUGGGAAUGCAGCUCAAAAUGGGUGGUAAAUUUCAUCUAAAGCUAAAUAUGGGCCAGAGACCGAUAGCGCACAAGUAGAGUGAUCGAAAGAUGAAAAGCACUUUGGAAAGAGAGUUAAACAGUACGUGAAAUUGUUGAAAGGGAAGCGCUUGCAACCAGACUUGGGCGCUGUCGAUCACCCCGAGUUCUCUCGAGUGCACUCGACAGCGCACAGGCCAGCAUCGGUUCGGGUGGCUGGAUAAAGGCCGUAGGAACGUGGCUCCCUUCGGGGAGUGUUAUAGCCUACGGUGCCAUGCAGCCCAGCCGGACCGAGGACCGCGCCUUCGGGCUAGGAUGCUGGCGUAAUGGUUGUAAGCGACCCGUCUUGAAACACGGACCAAGGAGUCUAACAUCUAUGCGAGUGUUUGGGUGGUAAACCCAUACGCGGAAUGAAAGUGAACGUAGGUGAGAACCCCUUUGGGGCGCAUCAUCGACCGAUCCUGA
Molecule: ribosomal RNA, 760 nt
Filed under: Erysiphe euonymicola
Lineage: Eukaryota; Fungi; Ascomycota; Leotiomycetes; Helotiales; Erysiphaceae
Description: eukaryotic LSU rRNA
Rfam family: Eukaryotic large subunit ribosomal RNA
Source: RNAcentral